CCUACGGGAGGCAGCAGUGGGGAAUUUUGGACAAUGGGCGAAAGCCUGAUCCAGCAAUGCCGCGUGCAGGAAGAAGGCCUUCGGGUUGUAAACUGCUUUUGUACGGAACGAAAAGACUCUCUCUAAUACAGGGGGCUUAUGACGGUACCGUAAGAACAAGCACCGGCUAACUACGUGCCAGCAGCCGCGGUAAUACGUAGGGUGCAAGCGUUAAUCGGAAUUACUGGGCGUAAAGCGUGCGCAGGCGGUUAUAUAAGACAGUUGUGAAAUCCCCGGGCUCAACCUGGGAACUGCAUCUGUGACUGUAUAGCUAGAGUACGGUAGAGGGGGAUGGAAUUCCGCGUGUAGCAGUGAAAUGCGUAGAUAUGCGGAGGAACACCGAUGGCGAAGGCAAUCCCCUGGACCUGUACUGACGCUCAUGCACGAAAGCGUGGGGAGCAAACAGGAUUAGAUACCCUGGUAGUCCACGCCCUAAACGAUGUCAACUGGUUGUUGGGUCUUCACCGACUCAGUAACGAAGCUAACGCGUGAAGUUGACCGCCUGGGGAGUACGGCCGCAAGGUUGAAACUUAAAGGAAUUGACGGCUGAGACGNGCGACGGACGACGACGAGGGAGGAGG
RNAcentral lists this ribosomal RNA (620 nucleotides) under uncultured bacterium. RNAcentral's name for it is "bacterial SSU rRNA". It matches the Rfam family "Bacterial small subunit ribosomal RNA", at positions 338 to 954 of the family's 1533-position model. The record is from RNAcentral.